Long non-coding RNA from Monomorium pharaonis (pharaoh ant), 4315 nucleotides. RefSeq lists it as uncharacterized. NCBI's taxonomy places the organism in Eukaryota, Metazoa, Arthropoda, Insecta, Hymenoptera, Formicidae. The transcript is spliced from 2 exons. The record is from RefSeq and is a predicted model, not a curated record.
UAAUUUUUAAUAACAUUAUAUAUUAUAAAUUAAUAUAUUAAAUUUAUUUCGACAGUGAUAAUAUAUAAAUAACACAAUACAUUUUAUUUGGUAAAAGUUUUUUAAGUUAAUUAAAAAUAAUUGGAAUUAUUAAAGUGUUAUGUGCAGAAUAUUACAAUUAUUUUUUAAUUCGUCAUUUUUUUACAUACAUUUUAAUUUGUAUAAAAAAUUAUCCUUUCUAUACUUUACAUUCAAAAAGUUAUAAUUUUUAUGGCAAUAAGAUUAUCAUAAUUUUAAGAAUUUAUAAUUCUAAAUCUACGGUUUAAACAAAAUAAUAUUUUAACAGAGCAAAGACAUUUUAUGUGGAACGAAACAAAAUUGUUUUCUUGAAAAUAAUUAAAUUAGCUUUUGCGCAGCAAUGUUAUACGUUCGUAAUUCGUUCAGCAACUGCAACGAAAUCGAAAAAAUGGUCGAACCGAUAAGCGCGUAAAGAAAAAAAAACAAAUAUAGCAACGGUUCGACAUUCGAUAAGCAACAAGCGAUGUUUCAAUCAGGAAGACGUUUGAUUGAACGGGAACGUAUUGAACACAUAGGCACAUUAUUGAUCUUUUUUAUGUACCUUUUGGCUAGCUAUUUUACCUGUGUUAGCCAGUUACAGAUUGUACAAUAUAGCCAAUUGACGAAUUAUUCUCUCUUCAUCAAAAUAUUCCCAAUCAGAAUACUGAUAGUACUUAUGAUAAAAAUUAAAUAUGCAAUCAUUAAUUGAACAAUAAAAUGUGCUAUAUCCAAUUUAUGAAUUCCUCAUCGCAGAAAGCGAAUGGCAAGCGUUAUUGUUUUCUGUACGAUACGAUACUCGUUAGUCGCAACAUGUGUGGCUCAUUAUUGCCGUUAUGAAGAUAAUAGGACCCGUUCUAAUGUGCAAAUAGCUGUUUGCGCAUGCAUAUUUCAUUACGGUAUUGCGGAGCCAGGUGACUCUAGGGAAAACCAUUAUUCAUUCGUCUUUUGUUUCACGGCAUUAUGUAAACAAGCGGAGGAAAAUGUUCGAAAAGUAUUAUUGAGAAAUAAUACUUUGAAUUAUAGGAAGAUCUCUGAAAGUUGAAAAACUGGAUGGGCGAUUGGUUAAGUAUCUAUUGAUAUAGAAGCUUUUGCUUGUGAAGCCGUUAGAUGAGGUAAUACAUAUAAUAUAUAAAUUUAUGUUCGUGUUGUGUAAACAAAAAUAUUUAUAAUGUAUAAAAAAGUAUAGAUCGUCAAAUAUGAUGUACAUAUGAUGCACAUAUUUAUUUACGAUAAAAUUUAUUUACAAAUAUUUUAAUUUACUUGUAAAUUUAUAUAGUGUAAGAACUUUUUUGUAUUUUUAUUUCUUUUUGCAGAAAUAAUAUUUAAAAAAGUAUAUAAAUAUUAUGCAGGAAUAAUAUAAAUAUUAAAAGUUUUGAAAUCAUGUAAAACAAUAUUUAUAAAUAAGAUUAUAAACAUUUCAAACAUUACGUUAGCGCAUUAGUUUUUCAAAAUAAAGUAUAUUAAUUUAACAAAAUAACAUACACAUUCUAUUCUCUUAAUAAAAAAAUUUGUGAAUGUGUCAUUCAUCGAUUUAUUCUGGCGGUUCAAAGUUUUUUUUCUUUUGCGAAAAUUGCGAAGAAAAAAUCGGAAAAUGCACGUGCGCGCGCGUGCGGCUUCGGCUACAGGGUCCAAUUGGCUGCAGUUUGAUACAGGGGAUGAGAAACGAGGAGAAUAGGGUAGGAGGAAGAAUGUGGAGGUGUAAUAUGUGGGGCGGUCGAUAGGGUAGCGGCUAUAUGUGCCGUUGAUACCGGAGGGUUUGCGUUACAGCACGUUUAAGCAUACACGCGGCCGCACGUACGGAGAAGUACAUUAAAAAAGAAAAACAAACAAAAAAGAGAACUCAAAAAAGCAAACUGUGCAAGACGCGUCCGCUUUAACGGCACGGAUAGUGUACGAUUUGCGCGUACGAGGAGCCUGCAAAAAUGGAAAUCAUGCAAAUCUGCCGGAAAAAACGAGCUUUUGCAGGGACGAUAUCAAGUCGCGAACUUCGCUACGCGCGGUAUCUUUUCUUUUUUCUACGUCGUUCGUUUCGGAAAAGUUUUCGUGCGCGAGAAAGAUUGCACUUUGAAAGAAGUUGAGGUCUUGGGAGUUUAAGUUCCGCGGAUGCGAGACUGACCCACGCAGUUUCUCCUCGCAACAGUCGAUGCGAGAAACAAAGAUUUCGGAUAUGUCCACGAAAAGUUUUCUACGGAGACCUCUUUGUAAAGGGAAACAAAUAUAAGUGUGUCAAGUACUUCAUUCUUUCUGUUUUACUCCAUUUACCAGCCCGUGGGAGUGAAAAAUGAUGACAAAUUGACAAAAGCAGAUAAAUUAUAAACAAAAUUGAAAGAGACAAAAAGAGCUCUUGUGCAACUGCGAAUAUUUUCUAGAAAUUGAAGUACGUUUUUAUUCAAUCUGCAAUAAGUUAAACGUUCCUUUUUUUUUACGACAGGCGGAGAACUUCUAUGUCAAAAUCCAAAGCAUAAUGGCAUUCUGAUUUUCAUUGACUACGAUUGUUACAAAUUGUCAAUCCAUGUUUCGUCACUGCAUUAUGCUUCUUAACAUACUGAUUAUAAAUGAUGACUAGGUGGACGAGCAAGGUGACUUCUGACAUAAUUAUUAGAUGGUCAAAAGUGCUUGUCUGGAAGUUGACGUUUAUGCGUGCUCACGUAAAAUGUGGAGGUGCUUGGCGUAACGUAUAUACAUUAAUGAUGUGCACAAGUAAAUAUGUAUAUCCGCUGAAAUCCAUAUGCAAAUACACACGGGCGCAAACUCGAACAAGUGUGACAAAUAAACGCGACGUGCGCAAUGAUACACAAUAUGUGCACGUGCACAACUUUUCGGUAUAGCUUUUCGGUGAUGAACGGCGUUAUCAACGUUAUUACACGGAACUCCCCGCCGCGUCGUUAUCAACGGUCAAACUCCAUUAAGCCAUCCGCUCGUUCGUCCGAUAUCUCUCCGGCGUAUACAUUCGGGGAAAUGUGCGUGGUAUAAACGGGGCUACAACGAGGAAUAAUGUUGCCCGUUUCCGCUUCAUUUAAUAUAAAGACUCUGCGAAACUUAUUGACGAAAUGAUGUUGUGCCAUCGAUUUGUAUUACACACAUAAAAAAAUUGAUCUUGCAAUUUCAACAAAAAUUAUAUGUUUGUAAAAAUGAGCUGAGGCAGAUUAGCAAAUACUGUGAUAUGUAUAUGUAUUGCACUUAAUCAAUCUAACUGACAGAAACAGAAUUUAUAAAUUCUAUACGUGACAGCCAUAAUUUUACACACAAAAAAAAAAAAGAUCUUGCAACUUCAACAAAAAUUAUAUGUGUGUAAAAUCUAGUUGAAAUAGAUACAAAAUUAACAAAUAUUGUGAUAUGUUUAUGUACUGGGCUUAAUCAAUCUAGCUAAUAGAAGCAGAAUUUUCAAAUUCUAUACGUGACAGCCAAAAUUCUAGCUGAUACAAAAAUUAGCGAUACAUUUUGGUUGUGACAUCAAGAAAUCUGUCUGUAUUAGCAAAACAUUUUUUCGGGUGUACUUUCCAAGUUCGAAAUCUUUUAUUGAUGAACAUCCUCGCAGUUAUAUAACUACAAAUAUAAUUCGAAAUUCUAUAAUUUUCGGUCGACGAAACAGACUUUAGUUUCGAUACGUCAGGCGUUAACAAUUUGGGAUGGCGGGUGUGAUAAUUUACAUUUUCCAUACAUCGCCGAUGAUCGUGCUUAAUGAAUAUGUCGAAACGCUCCGCUUGCACUUGACCUGGCCGUUAGCGCAACAUCUUCUGAGACAUGGGGAUGUACAGACUUUAUGUGGAGCAGAAAGGUCAAGGUUUAACCGCAUCGAAGAAAUUUCUCAAGAGCCUUCAGCUAUUCGAGGAUGAGUCCACGAGUGUGACGACGCGAAACUUGUCGGUUGAGAUCACUCGAUUAACGAAGACAAACGAUGCAACCAAUUCGGGAUAAAGCAUCUCGAGCGCUUUUCUUCCACUCCGCAUGCACACCGGAAACUUCUCUAUCACGCGGGCGGUGAUGCUGAAAAUUUUCCUGCUACAUUUCUCUUCACUUUCGUUUUAUUCGUCUCUACUACACGUACGAUUUCUUAUACGCGUAACAUUUCCGAAUUCUUGAUGUAAAUAAAUGCGAAUUUUAAAUAAAGGCGAUUUUUUUGACAGUUAAAAUUUUCGUUUCGAUACUAGAUUAACAAAAAGCAUCAUUUGUCACUGCUCCUUAAAUUUAUCAUAAACGUACUUUAUGAUAUAAAAAUUAUAUGAAUUAUCCAAAUAGCUUGAUUGUAUAUCCGUCAAAUAAACAGUAUGUAAUUCAA